RNAcentral lists this ribosomal RNA (494 nucleotides) under uncultured bacterium. RNAcentral describes it as "partial 16S ribosomal RNA". It matches the Rfam family "Bacterial small subunit ribosomal RNA", at positions 899 to 1397 of the family's 1533-position model. The record is from RNAcentral.
ACUCAAAGGAAUUGACGGGGACCCGCACAAGCGGUGGAUGAUGUGGUUUAAUUCGAUGCAACGCGAAAAACCUUACCUACCCUUGACAUGUCUGAGACCUUGAAGAGAUUUGAGGGUGCUCGAAAGAGAAUCAGAACACAGGUGCUGCAUGGCCGUCGUCAGCUCGUGUCGUGAGAUGUUGGGUUAAGUCCCGCAACGAGCGCAACCCUUGUCAUUAGUUGCUACGAAAGGGCACUCUAAUGAGACUGCCGGUGACAAACCGGAGGAAGGUGGGGAUGACGUCAGGUCAUCAUGGCCCUUAUGGGUAGGGCUACACACGUCAUACAAUGGCCGGUACAGAGGGCUGCCAACCCGCGAGGGGGAGCCAAUCCCAGAAAACCGGUCGUAGUCCGGAUCGUAGUCUGCAACUCGACUGCGUGAAGUCGGAAUCGCUAGUAAUCGCGGAUCAGCUUGCCGCGGUGAAUACGUUCCCGGGUCUUGUACACACCGCCCGU